Molecule: long non-coding RNA, 553 nt
Filed under: Apteryx rowi (Okarito brown kiwi)
Lineage: Eukaryota; Metazoa; Chordata; Aves; Apterygiformes; Apterygidae
Description: lncRNA (ENSARWG00000015052.1)
Source: RNAcentral
CUGAAUUUCGUGAGAAAGGGUGAAGUGGGCUGGCCGCAGGCGGCUGCCCUUCCGCAGGCUCCUGUCGAGGGGGCUUGCCGUGCGGCCACGUGGGCGCCUGAGAUGAGCUUCGCUUUAUACGGUGGAGGAGAACUUUCACUGAUCGCUUGCCGGGUACUAUAGAUACACGCAGGUCAUCGUGUUUAUCCAACUGCGGCGAAAGCAAAUAAGUGCCGAGCGGCGUUUGAGCGACUUGCAGAGCUGAAUCCGACCUGCCGCCUUUUCCUUCCUUUCCUUCCUGGCGGGGCUGCUGGGAGAAGAAGGUACGUGUUUAUCUUGGAGGCGAGGAGGGGGGCUGAAAUCGUCUUCAUUUUCUCAGCUCUGUUGGGUUUUAAGCCCCGUGAUCAUGAUGGCUCGUUCGAACCGCAGGGACGGCGAGAGGCCCGUGGUGGGACUGGCAGCCCGGGAGGUGCCGGCUGUGGAGCCGAGCUGAGCAGGCGAGGCAGCGGAAGAUGCAAGAAAGGAAAAAAAUGUAAAUUAUCUCGAGUAGUUAUUAUAUCGCAGUGCAGAGGGG